Molecule: ribosomal RNA, 253 nt
Filed under: uncultured bacterium
Lineage: Bacteria
Description: partial 16S ribosomal RNA
Rfam family: Bacterial small subunit ribosomal RNA
Source: RNAcentral
GACAGAGGUGCCAAGCGUUAGGCGGAAUCACUGGGCUUAAAGCGUGUGUAGGCGGAAUUGUAAGUACCUUGUGAAAUCCCACGGCUCAACCGUGGAACUGCUUGGUAUACUGCUUUUCUUGAGCCACUUAGGGGCUGUCGGAACAAACGGUGGAGCGGUGAAAUGCGUAGAUAUCGAGAGGAACACCUGCGGCGAAGGCGGGUUGCUGGGCUGAUACUGACGCUGAGGCGCGAAAGCCAGGGGAGCGAACGGG